Molecule: ribosomal RNA, 465 nt
Filed under: uncultured ammonia-oxidizing bacterium
Lineage: Bacteria
Description: bacterial SSU rRNA
Rfam family: Bacterial small subunit ribosomal RNA
Source: RNAcentral
GGAGGAAAGUAGGGGAUCGCAAGACCUUGCGCUUUUGGAGCGGCCGAUGUCUGAUUAGCUAGUUGGUGAGGUAAAGGCUUACCAAGGCGUCGAUCAGUAGCUGGUCUGAGAGGACGACCAGCCACACUGGGACUGAGACACGGCCCAGACUCCUACGGGAGGCAGCAGUGGGGAAUUUUGGACAAUAGGGGAAACCCUGAUCCAGCCAUGCCGCGUGAGUGAAGAAGGCCUUCGGGUUGUAAAGCUCUUUCAGCCGGAACGAAACGGUCACGGUUAAUACCCGUGACUACUGACGGUACCGGAAGAAGAAGCACCGGCCAACUACGUGCCAGCAGCCGCGGUAAUACGUAGGGUGCGAGCGUUAAUCGGAAUUACUGGGCGUAAAGCGUGCGCAGGCGGUUUUGUAAGUCAGAUGUGAAAUCCCCGGGCUUAACCUGGGAACUGCGUUUGAAACUACAAAGCUAG